RNAcentral lists this unclassified non-coding RNA (383 nucleotides) under Hevea brasiliensis (rubber tree). Lineage: Eukaryota; Viridiplantae; Streptophyta; Magnoliopsida; Malpighiales; Euphorbiaceae. The record is from RNAcentral.
GGCUCUUGUGUUUCCAGGUUCAACUUCAUCAGAGUUUUCUUUUUGACCAAUUGAAGAGUCAUAUUUAUCUCCUGAAUGAAUGCUGACUACAUCCAUGCAAGCAACUUCAAUUUCAGAAGUUCUCGAGUCAUUAGUUGAUACGAGCAAUUUACAGUUCAUGCUCAUUUCAUGAGCUUGCACCAGAGGGUACGUGACCACAGCGACUUGCGUAACAGUACCAGGGAAGAGUAUUAGUCCCUCAACAUAUCUGACACGAAAAUACUUGAUGUUCUCUCCAGCCUCACUUACCUUGACAAUGCUCAAUAUGUAAGGUGAAUCAUUUCUCACUGACAGAGCAACAACACUAGUACCAUCAGUCGCACAUGGUUCUACAGUUUGAAUAG